Molecule: ribosomal RNA, 250 nt
Filed under: uncultured archaeon
Lineage: Archaea
Description: partial 16S ribosomal RNA
Rfam family: Archaeal small subunit ribosomal RNA
Source: RNAcentral
CAGCCGUAAACAAUGUGCGUUAGGUGUGUCGGUAACCACGCGUUACUGAUGCGCCGAAGAGAAAUCGUGAAACGCACCACCUGGGAAGUACGGUCGCAAGGCUGAAACUUAAAGGAAUUGGCGGGGGAGCACCGCAACGGGAGGAGCGUGCGGUUUAAUUGGAUUCAACACCGUAAAACUCACCAGGGAAGACUGUUACAUGAAGGCCGAGAUGAAGACUCUGCUAGAUUUUCAGAGAGGUGGUGCAUGG